Molecule: ribosomal RNA, 253 nt
Filed under: uncultured bacterium
Lineage: Bacteria
Description: partial 16S ribosomal RNA
Rfam family: Bacterial small subunit ribosomal RNA
Source: RNAcentral
UACGUAGGGUGCGAGCGUUGUCCGGAAUUAUUGGGCGUAAAGGGCUCGUAGGCGGUUUGUCACGUCGGGAGUGAAAACUCAGGGCUCAACCCUGAGCCUGCUUCCGAUACGGGCAGACUAGAGGUAUGCAGGGGAGAACGGAAUUCCUGGUGUAGCGGUGAAAUGCGCAGAUAUCAGGAGGAACACCGGUGGCGAAGGCGGUUCUCUGGGCAUUACCUGACGCUGAGGAGCGAGAGUGUGGGGAGCGAACAGG